CACCCGUCGUGGCAAGCGACCAGGGGCGCCGGGCUGGUAAUUGGAACAGGGGCCAGCCAUGCGCACGCCGGGGAUGCCGAGGGGCCGGUAGUCGGGGGACUGCCGGCCCCUUUUUU
This 116-nucleotide antisense RNA is filed under the name Pseudoxanthomonas sp. Root65. RNAcentral's name for it is "Xanthomonadaceae sRNA asX1". It matches the Rfam family "Xanthomonadaceae sRNA asX1". Lineage: Bacteria; Pseudomonadati; Pseudomonadota; Gammaproteobacteria; Lysobacterales; Lysobacteraceae. The record is from Rfam by way of RNAcentral.